Molecule: ribosomal RNA, 447 nt
Filed under: uncultured bacterium
Lineage: Bacteria
Description: bacterial SSU rRNA
Rfam family: Bacterial small subunit ribosomal RNA
Source: RNAcentral
UGGGGAAUCUUGGACAAUGGGCGCAAGCCUGAUCCAGCCAUGCCGCGUGAGUGAUGAAGGCCUUAGGGUUGUAAAGCUCUUUUGCCGGGGACGAUAAUGACGGUACCCGGAGAAUAAGUCCCGGCUAACUUCGUGCCAGCAGCCGCGGUAAUACGAAGGGAGCUAGCGUUGUUCGGAAUUACUGGGCGUAAAGCGCACGUAGGCGGAUUGAUAAGUUAGAGGUGAAAUCCCGGGGCUCAACCUCGGAACUGCCUUUGAUACUGUUAGUCUCGAGUCCGAUAGAGGUGAGUGGAAUUCCUAGUGUAGAGGUGAAAUUCGUAGAUAUUAGGAAGAACACCAGUGGCGAAGGCGGCUCACUGGAUCGGUACUGACGCUGAGGUGCGAAAGCGUGGGGAGCAAACAGGAUUAGAUACCCCCGUAGUCCCUGAGCGGGCUGGCAAGGCGCAU